CGAGAAGGCGCUAGGAGCAAAGGAAAGUGGUUUUUCUAACAAACUCAUAUAAUCAGUUGCCCGACCUACUCCAAUUUGAUUCUUUUCACAUAGUUAGACAUAGUAUAGUACUAUGAAAUGUUUCUGACCUAAAAUAUUACGAAAUAUGAUUGUUUACAUUAAAAUGUAAAAGUUGAUGUUACAAUAUGAUAAGGUGAAAAAAGUGACAUUUUAUAUCUAGAAAGUCACUUUUCAUCAAAAGUACAAUAACAAAACUACUUCCCAUUUAUCCUGUGUCCCCAGACACACUUGUGCUCUUUAUCCGCUCAAAACGCUAUACAGCGACUUGAAAGGCGCUAGGAGCAAAGGAAAGUGGUUUUUCUAACAAACUCAUAUAAUCAAUUGCCCGACCUACUCCAAUAUGAUAUUUUUCACAUAUUUACACAUAUAUAGUACUAUGAAAUGUUUCUGACAUAAAAUAUUACGAAAUAUGAUUGUUUACUUUAAAAUGUAAAAGUUGAUGUUACAGUGUGAUAAG
This is a long non-coding RNA of Ictalurus punctatus (channel catfish), 517 nucleotides long. The record is from Ensembl. NCBI's taxonomy places the organism in Eukaryota, Metazoa, Chordata, Actinopteri, Siluriformes, Ictaluridae.